RNAcentral lists this ribosomal RNA (215 nucleotides) under uncultured bacterium. RNAcentral describes it as "partial 16S ribosomal RNA". It matches the Rfam family "Bacterial small subunit ribosomal RNA", at positions 524 to 739 of the family's 1533-position model. The record is from RNAcentral.
UACGUAGGGUGCGAGCGUUAAUCGGAAUUACUGGGCGUAAAGCGUGCGCAGGCGGUUUUGUAAGCCAGAUGUGAAAUCCCCGGGCUUAACCUGGGAAUGGCAUUUGGGACUGCAAGGCUUGAGUGCGGCAGAGGAGACUGGAAUUCCUGGUGUAGCAGUGAAAUGCGUAGAUAUCAGGAGGAAUACCGAUGCGAAGGCAGGUCUCUGGGCUGACA